RNAcentral lists this long non-coding RNA (531 nucleotides) under Taeniopygia guttata (zebra finch). Its description in RNAcentral is "lncRNA (ENSTGUG00000025155.1)". The record is from RNAcentral. Lineage: Eukaryota; Metazoa; Chordata; Aves; Passeriformes; Estrildidae.
GGUGCCCAUGGAGCCCCGGGCCGGCGGGGCUGCGGAGCCAACCCUUCCCUCCUGCCGCUCUCUGCAGCUGGCAGAGGACAGCAGCAGCGUGGCCAAGCACCUGCACCGGGCCCUGCCCUACCUGCAGAGCCCACAGGAGCCCCUGCGAGAGGCGGCCGUCAGGUUCAUGGGGACAGCCGGGCGGUACCUGAGGGGGAGGAAGGAAGAGCUCCAGCUCAUCUCUGAGGCCCUUGAAGGCAUGGCAAAUGACAUCAGCGUCCCCGUCAGAAGCCUGGCAAUUCAAACAUUGUGCGUCCUCCAGGCAGUAGAGAGAGCUCGAUAUUCCAUCUUUGACAACCUGCAUGAUCAGUUCCGCAGGGCAUGGAAGACACGUCCUCGUCUGUUGGGGCUCGGCUGGCUGCGCUGCUGGAGCUCUGCACAGAACUGAUCCCAAUGGCUCUGUCUGCUGGGGCCACCUGAGCCAGCAGGAAUGUUUAAUUUCUUCAAGACUGUUCAUUCCUUCUUUUUGUUUUUCUUUAGCAUAUAAAUAUA